UAGCAACUGGGUAAAAAACAAUAUGAAAACAGAUUUAGAACAUGACAAAGGAUGUUGCUUUGUCUAGCAGACCAAGUUAUUCAAAAUUAAGAAAUUUAUCCUAAAAGGGAAACCAAGGUCAAGAAGUUCCAACUUUCACAUAAACUCAACUAAUCUCACACAUUCACUUUCUUGAGGAAGACUUUUGAUUCCUUUCAUUUUUGUGUAAAAUAGUUACCAGAGCAAAAUGUUUUACAUGAACUUUUCACAUGUAAAACAUGAUCUUCAUAAUUAUAUCAUAUGAUGUUAGAACAAUGAAAAGUUUGGAUCAUUAAAUUGGGGAUAACUAUAAAAUUUGAUUUCUGUGUUAUCCGCUAAAUGAAGGUUGGACUAAGGGAAUAUGCAAAAAUCAUGUUACUUAAUGAUCAAGGCCAUAAUGGAUUUGUUUCAACUGAUAAAUAGCAACUGAUGCAAAGUUUUGCAACAAUUUGACUGAAAAGCUACUACUAUUUUCAAUGAAUUUAAUGA
RNAcentral lists this unclassified non-coding RNA (507 nucleotides) under Hevea brasiliensis (rubber tree). Lineage: Eukaryota; Viridiplantae; Streptophyta; Magnoliopsida; Malpighiales; Euphorbiaceae. The record is from RNAcentral.